This 253-nucleotide ribosomal RNA is filed under the name uncultured bacterium. Its description in RNAcentral is "partial 16S ribosomal RNA". It matches the Rfam family "Bacterial small subunit ribosomal RNA", at positions 524 to 776 of the family's 1533-position model. The record is from RNAcentral.
UACGGAGGGAGCUAGCGUUGUUCGGAAUUACUGGGCGUAAAGCGCACGUAGGCGGCUUUGUAAGUUAGAGGUGAAAGCCCGGGGCUCAACUCCGGAACUGCCUUUAAGACUGCAUCGCUUGAAUCCGGGAGAGGUGAGUGGAAUUCCGAGUGUAGAGUUGAAAUUCGUAGAUAUUCGGAAGAACACCAGUGGCGAAGGCGGCUCACUGGACCGGUAUUGACGCUGAGGUGCGAAAGCGUGGGGAGCAAACAGG